Molecule: long non-coding RNA, 652 nt
Organism: Rosa chinensis
Lineage: Eukaryota; Viridiplantae; Streptophyta; Magnoliopsida; Rosales; Rosaceae
Exons: 3
Source: RefSeq, a predicted model, not a curated record
UCCAUUUCUCCCCAAAAUCAAAACCUCCAUUUCAGUGGCGAAGCAACAAAGCAAGAAUCCGGCAGCAAAGCAACAAAGCAAGAAUCCGGCAGCAAAGCAACAAAUCAAGGCUCAGGCGGGGAAGCAAUGAAUUGAGGCUCCGGCGGCGAAGCAGUGAAUCAAGGCUCCAGCGGCGAAGCAACAGAUCUAGGCUCCGGUGGCGAAGCAACAAAUCCAGGCUCCGGUGGCGAAGCAACAGAUUGAGGAUCCGGCGGCGAAGCAACAAAUCGAGACUCCAGCGGCGAAGCAACAGAUCUAGGAUCCGGCAGAGCCAAUCAAUGAAGAAGAGGUCGAGGCAGUUGCUCACUUCACGAUGAAGACACCGACGGCGAAGCAACAAUUCGAAGCUCCGCCUGCGCUAGGCCUUAAAGAUUAAUGACAAUGGCAAAGAGGAAGGCUGCUGCAAUAAAAGAAGAGGACGCAAUGUUAAUUUGCUACUACAUGUAAUAUAUUGCUUGCAGCAAUGUAUAUUUUGACUGUGGAGCAUAUAUAUCCUAAACUAUAUACAACAAGUUGCAAAUAACCAAGGAGUCAGGGAUAGAAGAAUGUGCUACAAAUUGAAAAGGAAAUCAAAGAGAGCCUCAAGCACAUGAGGAAAUCCUGCUGGAGAAAC